Molecule: ribosomal RNA, 279 nt
Filed under: uncultured bacterium
Lineage: Bacteria
Description: partial 16S ribosomal RNA
Rfam family: Bacterial small subunit ribosomal RNA
Source: RNAcentral
UGCCAGCAGCCGCGGUAAUACGGAGGGUGCGAGCGUUAAUCGGAAUUACUGGGCGUAAAGCGCGCGUAGGCGGUUAAUCCAGUCAGAUGUGAAAUCCCAGGGCUCAACCCUGGAACAGCAUUUGAAACUGUUUAACUAGAGUUUUGUAGAGGGUGGUAGAAUUUCAGGUGUAGCGGUGAAAUGCGUAGAGAUCUGAAGGAAUACCAGUGGCGAAGGCGGCCACCUGGACAAUAACUGACGCUGAGGCGCGAAGGCGUGGGUAGCAAACGGGAUUAGAUA